GAAGGCGAACCCCCGGAAAAUCCUCUCCAGCUUCGGACAGGCAAGCCUCCUCCAGCCUGUCACAGCCUCCCUGUCCCUCCAGUCCCUCCACAAACCCUGACGCCGCGAGCGACUCACUUCCCAAGCUUUCUCACUGCAAGUAGCUUUGAUAUAAUACCGAGUCCAGUAACACAGGGAUUGAGAACAAAGUGGCUGGAAGACUGGAUUUUCUCCAUCAGGCUCCUCCUCCCUGCUGAAGAAUAAAACCUGCUGUUUGCUGCAUGAUGGAAGACCUGAUGCUUUACUGUGUGAUGGUGGCAUCCUCGGGCUGAAACCUCUCUAGGAUUUCAGAACUUAUUUCUUAUUUCAAAAGACUGCAUGAAUGAAUGGUGACCAGAUGAUUCUACAAAGCAAAGAUGGCGAAAAAAAGAAAGUAGGCAUUUGUGGUACUAUAACCAGCAAGUGGCCCAUGGUGCUGCUGACUCAGAAGAACAUACUGCAAUGUCACAGCCUCAGUGAAACACAAAACAAGACACAGAAGAUAAAUAAACUCUGCAACAAGUUGCACUCUUUAUCAGGUAUCACCUGGAAUUCAUGCAGCUCCAGACAUAGUAUUAUUCGUGUGAAAGUGAGGCCAAAAGCAAGAGGCAUGUGAAAUCAACUGGAAGGCAAGGGUAAUCAAGAGCAUGAGGCUCGCAUGCUGCCACAUUUAUGUGAUUAAAAAUUUGUACAGUUAACUAAGAACGUUUGGAAUAAAUGGAAGCAUC
Vicugna pacos (alpaca) is the source of this 746-nucleotide non-coding RNA. NCBI's taxonomy places the organism in Eukaryota, Metazoa, Chordata, Mammalia, Artiodactyla, Camelidae. The record is from RefSeq and is a predicted model, not a curated record.